GUCGUACCUGCCCUGUGAUUUUAUAAUUUAACGGAUGGAUUUGUGUUAAAGUAGCACAGUAAAUAGCCCUUUGAUUGAGGGAUGGAAUGAAUGGUUUGACAUAAGGAUUCUGUCUUUAGGAUAAUGUAAUAGAAAUUCCUUUUUAAGUGAAAAAGCUUAAAUAUUUGUAAAAGAUGAGAAGACCCUAUCGAACUUAAUUAUGGCUGGGCAGUUUAUGCUAAAUAGAUUAUAUUUGGUUAGUUUCCUUAGCUUUAAAUCUUACUGGGGCAGUAGAGGGUUAUAUAAUACCUUUCUUUUAUAUUGAAGAGCCUUUUAGAUGGAAAAGAGCAAAAGUUACCGUAGGGAUAACAGGGUAAUUUUUCCCGAAAGAUCUUAUUAAGGGAAGAGUGUGCGACCUCGAUGUUGAAUUAAAGGAGCUUUUUGGUGAAAGUGCUAAAA
Molecule: ribosomal RNA, 438 nt
Filed under: Cyclina sinensis
Lineage: Eukaryota; Metazoa; Mollusca; Bivalvia; Venerida; Veneridae
Description: partial 16S ribosomal RNA
Rfam family: Bacterial large subunit ribosomal RNA
Source: RNAcentral